UACGAAGGGGGCUAGCGUUGUUCGGAAUCACUGGGCGUAAAGCGCACGCAGGCGGAUCGUUAAGUCAGGGGUGAAAUCCCGAGGCUCAACCUCGGAACUGCCUUUGAUACUGGCGAUCUUUGAGUCCGGGAGAGGUGAGUGGAACUCCGAGUGUAGAGGUGAAAUUCGUAGAUAUCGAGAGGAACACCAGUGGCGAAGGCGAGUCUCUGGACAUUUCCUGACGCUGAGGCACGAAAGCCAGGGGAGCAAACGGG
RNAcentral lists this ribosomal RNA (254 nucleotides) under uncultured bacterium. Its description in RNAcentral is "partial 16S ribosomal RNA". It matches the Rfam family "Bacterial small subunit ribosomal RNA", at positions 524 to 776 of the family's 1533-position model. The record is from RNAcentral.